GUAGUCCGCGCCGUAAACGAUGGACGCUCGAUGUUGCACCGCUUCAGGUGCAGUGUCUAAGCUAACGCGUUAAGCGUCCCACCUGGGGAGUACGAUCGCAAGGUUGAAACUCAAAGGAAUUGACGGGGGCCCGCACAAGCGGUGGAGCAUGUGGAUUAAUUCGAUGCAACGCGAAGAACCUUACCCAGGCUCGAACGUUACCGGACAGCCCCUGAAAGGGGGUCUCCUUCGGGCUGGUAGCGAGGUGCUGCAUGGCUGUCGUCAGUUCGUGUCGUGAGAUGUUGGGUUAAGUCCCGCAACGAACGCAACCCCUAUCGCUAGUUACCAGCGGGUUAUGCCGGGGACUCUAGCGAGACUGCCUGCGCAAGCAGUGA
RNAcentral lists this ribosomal RNA (374 nucleotides) under uncultured bacterium. RNAcentral's name for it is "bacterial SSU rRNA". It matches the Rfam family "Bacterial small subunit ribosomal RNA", at positions 790 to 1167 of the family's 1533-position model. The record is from RNAcentral.